RNAcentral lists this non-coding RNA (81 nucleotides) under Mesobacillus persicus. The record is from RNAcentral. Lineage: Bacteria; Bacillati; Bacillota; Bacilli; Caryophanales; Bacillaceae.
GAACGCGGAAUGCUAGGAAACUGGCACGUUCCGUGUGGAGCAGGGGAAAAGCCGGAGAUAACUUCAAACGCUUACCUUUAG